This 2042-nucleotide long non-coding RNA is filed under the name Helianthus annuus (common sunflower). RNAcentral's name for it is "hypothetical non coding rna". Lineage: Eukaryota; Viridiplantae; Streptophyta; Magnoliopsida; Asterales; Asteraceae. The record is from RNAcentral.
UAGUCAUCUUCACACCUCUCUCUCUUCAACUCAGAAAUAAAACCCUAGAAACCCUAACUCUGAACAAAACCAGAAGAACAUCGAAGCGAUGGAGUCAAGCAUCAGAUCUAGAAAAUGCAAGCAACGUCCAUCGUAAUCCGAUCUACUUCCACCGUCACAGAUCCGGUUUCCGGCGACAGGUUCCCGGCACGUGCAGAUGGUGGCGGGUCAAGGGUUUUCAGUGGUUUAGUUCUACUAUGCAACUGAAACCAGAGCACUUUAUAAGGCGGUGGCAGGCCCUCAAUCGGCGAUGGUGGCUGCAACUAUUGGUUGAGUUAAGCGGUUUUGAAGAUAGCCCUGCCGUUGAUGAACUCUCAGCCCAUUGAUCAAUUGAAAUUAGGUCCUGGUUAUUCGUUGGUUGGAGAAGGGUCGUUUGUGGAGCAUGGUCAGCUGAUAUCAUCACAUGGCAACCGGGGAUGAUUGUUAGUGCAGUAAUGUCUAUCGCCUGCGUCAAUCAGAACCGUAGCUGAAAUAGAAGUAAAAUAGGCUUUAUAUUGUAAUUAAUCGAGAAAUAGGCAAGGUGGCAAACUUGUAAAUAAGGGAAAUCCCUUAUAACCUUAUGCCUAUAAAUAGGAGCUUUAGGUUUAGAGUUAGAGACUUUUGCCACAUUAGAGCUUGGAGAAGCUAGGUGCUUAGAGAGAGAAACUAGAGAGAGAAAGUGGCAAAACGUGAUUCACGGAGCUUGUAAUCGUUACAUCAUCAAUAGAAUCACGACAUUAGUACGAUCUCGUGUGUUCGGUCACACACGUUCACGGAUUCCGCACGUUGAACGUGUCGUUACGCAAUCGAAUCGGAGCGAAACCGGUCCUAACAAGUGGUAUCAGAGCAGGUGCUCGGUUGCGAAGAUCAAACUCACAGAUUCGUACAAGUUUUCAGCAGAUUCAGAGCCAAAAACAUCCAGAUUUGUCAAAUUCUUCUUAAAUUUCUUGUUCUUCACGUUUUUCUAUGAAUUUUACAAAUUUGAACGGGUUUUUAUGGUUCAAAUUGGCUGAAAUUUUGAUAUGUUGUGCGCAUAUAUCUGAUCUAUAAUCCUACAAAUUUUCAGGUCAAAAUUCCAAGCCGUUUGGGAGAAAUCUGCGUUUUUGUGAACUUUUUGCUGAAACCGUUCGUCAACUUGUUCAUCAGUUCUUGUUCGAUCGAACAGGCCACUCGUUCGAACAGGCCACUCGAUCGAAUAGGAAAUUUUAAUUCGUUCGAACAAGCCACUCGUUCGAACAAGCCGCUCGAACGACUAGCAUUUGGAUCGAAUAGGAUUUUGGUUCGAACAGGAACUUGAAUCGAGUAGACCACUCGAUCGGCCGGCUAAGUCGUUCGAACAGAAAUUGGAACGAACAGCAUAUAUUUGAAUCGAACAGCAUCAAUCGAUUGGCCUAGCCGAACGGCUAGGACCUCCAAACCGUUCGAACAGCAGCAUUCAUUAAAAGCCAUUGACUUUUGACCCUGUUCGAUCGAGUAGCAGCAUAACAUUCAUUAAACACUUUGACUUUUUGACUCUGUUCGAUCGAACAGCAGCAGGUGUAGCAUUUCUAGCCGAACGGCUAGCACCACCGCUACAAUUAACCAAUCGAACAGCAUAAAAAGUUGAACCUUUGACCCUGACCGAUCGAACAGAAGCAUCACUGACAUCACUUUCAAACUUUGACUUGUUGACCCUAGUCGAUCGGCUAGGAUUUCAGUACUGAUUCACCUCCUUAGUCAACCAAUCGAACAGAACAUAUACACUCUAACCGAUCAAUUAGCAAAUACUUUCACAACACAUCAUUUUUUUUUAAGGCAACACAUUUAGCACUUUGUCAACAUAAAAGCAACUUUGAUCAGACAACUUUAUCAGUUGUAUUAAUUGAACCUUAGAUCAUAUAUCGAAGCAUACGUGUCCCAAAGUGCCGCCCAACUUUAAUGAAUAAAUAGUUGCCGCCCAUUAUCAUUAAACAAGCCAUGUGAAGUUCUGAGGUGAAAUCAUUACUAAACAAAGGUGAAAUAGAAAUUUGUGUUCGGCUCUAUUU